UUAGUCUGAACAUUCAUGUUAUCCCUACAAUUCUCUAUGGUUAUUGGUUCCAAACUAGUGACUCCGAUCUCAACCAAUUGUUUUUUCUUUUUUUCUAAUCAGGAUCAUCAGAGGAACGUGUAACAUGUGAUUCUCCCAAUGAGUUGAGGAUAAAGACACAUUUCCAUGAUCUUAUAGAAAUAAUUGAUACUGCCCUGAACCAGACAGAGGUCGACACAAGGUUUGAGAGAAUUGCACCAUCUAUUGAGGACUUUCAGCUCCAAUCAAUGCUUGGUGACGG
Molecule: long non-coding RNA, 280 nt
Organism: Xenopus tropicalis (tropical clawed frog)
Lineage: Eukaryota; Metazoa; Chordata; Amphibia; Anura; Pipidae
Exons: 3
Source: RefSeq, a predicted model, not a curated record